CAAACAUCGCCUCUUGCCAAACAACACGUAUAAGAGGUCCAGCCUGCCCAGUGACUAUAUGUUCAACGGCCGCGGUAUUCUGACCGUGCAAAGGUAGCGUAAUCACUUGUCUUUUAAAUAAAGACUGGUAUGAAUGGCACCACGAAGGUUCAACUGUCUCCUGCAUCCAAUCCAUCAAACUGACCUCCCCGUGCAGAGGCGGGGAUAUACCCAUAAGACGAGAAGACCCUAUGGAGCUUUAAACUUACGGCAACUGCUAAACAAUCCAACCCCACGCGGGAAAACAGACAAUUAAGCAACAAUGACCUAAAGUUUUCGGUUGGGGCGACCACGGAGAAAAAAAAAUCCUCCUUGAUGUACGGGGCCUUACCCUCUUAACCAAGAACGACAGUUCUAAGUAACAAAACAUUUGACCACUAUUGAUCCAGUCCAACUGAUCAACGAACCAAGUUACCCUAGGGAUAACAGCGCAAUCCAUUUCGAAAGUUCCUAUCGACAAAUGGGUUUACGACCUCGAUGUUGGAUCAGGGCAUCCCAGUGGUGCAGCCGCUACUAAAGGUUCGUUUGUUCAACGAUUAAAGCCCUACUGACUGG
This 594-nucleotide ribosomal RNA is filed under the name Xenopus tropicalis (tropical clawed frog). RNAcentral describes it as "partial large subunit ribosomal RNA". It matches the Rfam family "Bacterial large subunit ribosomal RNA", at positions 1810 to 2608 of the family's 2925-position model. Lineage: Eukaryota; Metazoa; Chordata; Amphibia; Anura; Pipidae. The record is from RNAcentral.